GACGAACGCUGGCGGCGUGCUUAACACAUGCCAGUCGAACGGGUCUGCCCUGUUUUUUGCGGGGUGGGUCAGUGGCGAACGGGUGAGUAACACGUGAGUAACCUGCCCCUCACUUCUGGAUAACCGCUUGAAAGGGUGGCUAAUACGGGGUGUUCUGGCUGUGCCGCAUGGUGUGGCUGGGAAAGAUUCACUUUUGUGGUGUUUUGGUGGGGGAUGGGCUCGCGGCCUAUCAGCUUGUUGGUGGGGUGAUGGCCUGCCAAGGCUUUGACGGGUAGCCGGCCUGAGAGGGUGGGCGGUCACACUGGGACUGAGAUACGGCCCAGACUCCUGCGGGAGGCAGCAGUGGGGGGUAUUGCACAAUGGGCGGAAGCCUGAUGCAGCGACGUCGCGUGAGGGAUGGAGGCCUGCGGGUUGUGAACCUCUUUCGCCGGUGAAGAAGGUCCUGCUCUUUGUGGUGGGGUUGACGGUAGCCGGGUUAUGAAGCGCCGGCUAACUACGUG
This 500-nucleotide ribosomal RNA is filed under the name uncultured bacterium. RNAcentral's name for it is "partial 16S ribosomal RNA". It matches the Rfam family "Bacterial small subunit ribosomal RNA", at positions 28 to 507 of the family's 1533-position model. The record is from RNAcentral.